This 378-nucleotide unclassified non-coding RNA is filed under the name uncultured Gaiellales bacterium. RNAcentral's name for it is "contains 16S-23S intergenic spacer region". The record is from RNAcentral. Lineage: Bacteria; Bacillati; Actinomycetota; Thermoleophilia; Gaiellales.
UCCGGUUUGACACCGGCAGUCUCCCUAGAGUGCCCGGCUUUACCCGCUGGUAACUAGGGACGAGGGUUGCGCUCGUUGCGGGACUUAACCCAACAUCUCACGACACAAGCUGACGACAGCCAUGCAGCACCUGUGCACGGACUCCGAAGAGGGAACAUGUUUCCACGCUUUUCAAGUGCAUGUCAAGCCUUGGUAAGGUUCUUCGCGUUGCGUCGAAUUAAACCACAUGCUCCGCUGCUUGUGCGGGCCCCCGUCAAUUCCUUUGAGUUUUAGCCUUGCGGCCGUACUCCCCAGGCGGGGUGCUUAAUGCGUUAGCUUCGGCACGGAGGGAGUCGACACCCCCCACACCUAGCACCCAUCGUUUACGGCGUGGACUAC